This 370-nucleotide ribosomal RNA is filed under the name uncultured eukaryote. RNAcentral's name for it is "partial 18S ribosomal RNA". It matches the Rfam family "Eukaryotic small subunit ribosomal RNA", at positions 592 to 976 of the family's 1831-position model. The record is from RNAcentral.
CAAUAGCGUAUAUUAAAGUUGUUGCAGUUAAAAAGCUCGUAGUUGGACCUUGGACCUGGACAGGCGGUCCGCCUCACGGCGAGUACUGUCUUGCUGGGUCUUUCCUCUUGGUGAUCUGUUGUUUCGGCAGCAGGGAACCAGGACCUUUACUUUGAAAAAAUUAGAGUGUUCAAAGCAGGCUCGACGCCGGAAUAUAUUAGCAUGGAAUAAUAAAAUAGGACGUGCGGUUCUACUUUGUUGGUUUUUGGAAUCGCCGUAAUGAUUAAUAGGGACAGUCGGGGGCAUUAGUACUCACAUGCUAGAGGUGAAAUUCUUGGAUUUUGUGAAGACUAACUUCUGCGAAAGCAUUUGCCAAGGAUGUUUUCAUUAA